AUACUUACCUGGCAGAGGAGACGCCAUGAUCACAAAGGUCGUUUUCCCAGAGCGAGGCUGAUCCCUUGCAUUGAGGAUCUGCACACCUCUAUGAUUUCCUCACAUGGGGAAAACUCCACUGCAUAAUUUGUGAUGGUGGAGGACUGCAUUCAUACUUUCCCACA
Molecule: small nuclear RNA, 164 nt
Filed under: Dasypus novemcinctus (nine-banded armadillo)
Lineage: Eukaryota; Metazoa; Chordata; Mammalia; Cingulata; Dasypodidae
Description: U1 spliceosomal RNA (ENSDNOG00000035286.1)
Rfam family: U1 spliceosomal RNA
About the family: U1 is a small nuclear RNA (snRNA) component of the spliceosome (involved in pre-mRNA splicing).
Source: RNAcentral